This 725-nucleotide ribosomal RNA is filed under the name Bacillus anthracis (anthrax bacterium). Its description in RNAcentral is "bacterial SSU rRNA". It matches the Rfam family "Bacterial small subunit ribosomal RNA", at positions 48 to 753 of the family's 1533-position model. Lineage: Bacteria; Bacillati; Bacillota; Bacilli; Caryophanales; Bacillaceae. The record is from RNAcentral. RNAcentral also lists the same sequence under 1 other name.
GCUAUACAUGCAAGUCGAGCGAAUGGAUUAAGAGCUUGCUCUUAUGAAGUUAGCGGCGGACGGGUGAGUAACACGUGGGUAACCUGCCCAUAAGACUGGGAUAACUCCGGGAAACCGGGGCUAAUACCGGAUAACAUUUUGAACCGCAUGGUUCGAAAUUGAAAGGCGGCUUCGGCUGUCACUUAUGGAUGGACCCGCGUCGCAUUAGCUAGUUGGUGAGGUAACGGCUCACCAAGGCAACGAUGCGUAGCCGACCUGAGAGGGUGAUCGGCCACACUGGGACUGAGACACGGCCCAGACUCCUACGGGAGGCAGCAGUAGGGAAUCUUCCGCAAUGGACGAAAGUCUGACGGAGCAACGCCGCGUGAGUGAUGAAGGCUUUCGGGUCGUAAAACUCUGUUGUUAGGGAAGAACAAGUGCUAGUUGAAUAAGCUGGCACCUUGACGGUACCUAACCAGAAAGCCACGGCUAACUACGUGCCAGCAGCCGCGGUAAUACGUAGGUGGCAAGCGUUAUCCGGAAUUAUUGGGCGUAAAGCGCGCGCAGGUGGUUUCUUAAGUCUGAUGUGAAAGCCCACGGCUCAACCGUGGAGGGUCAUUGGAAACUGGGAGACUUGAGUGCAGAAGAGGAAAGUGGAAUUCCAUGUGUAGCGGUGAAAUGCGUAGAGAUAUGGAGGAACACCAGUGGCGAAGGCGACUUUCUGGUCUGUAACUGACACUGAGGCG